This 459-nucleotide ribosomal RNA is filed under the name uncultured Bacteroidota bacterium. Its description in RNAcentral is "uncultured Bacteroidetes bacterium partial 16S ribosomal RNA". The record is from RNAcentral. Lineage: Bacteria; Pseudomonadati; Bacteroidota.
GACUACAGGGGUAUCUAAUCCUGUUUGCUCCCCACGCUUUCGUGCAUCAGCGUCAGUUACAGUUUAGUAAGCUGCCUUCGCAAUUGGAGUUCUGUGUGAUAUCUAAGCAUUUCACCGCUACACCACACAUUCCGCCUACCUCAAUUGUACUCAAGACUUGCAGUAUCAAUGGCAGUUCUACAGUUAAGCUGUAGUAUUUCACCACUGACUUACAAAUCCGCCUACGCACCCUUUAUACCUAAUGAAUCCGGAUAACGCUUGCAUCCUCCGUAUUACCGCGGCUGCUGGCACGGAGUUAGCCGAUGCUUAUUCGUAUAGUACAGUCAGUCUCCUACACGUAGGAGGGUUCUUCCCAUACAAAAGAAGUUUACGACCCAUAGGGCUGUCAUCCUUCACGCGGCAUGGCUGGUUCAGGCUUGCGCCCAUUGACCAAUAUUCCUCACUGCUGCCCCCCGUAGG